RNAcentral lists this long non-coding RNA (1339 nucleotides) under Chloebia gouldiae (Gouldian finch). Its description in RNAcentral is "Erythrura gouldiae (Gouldian finch) lncRNA (ENSEGOG00005006271.1)". The record is from RNAcentral. Lineage: Eukaryota; Metazoa; Chordata; Aves; Passeriformes; Passeridae.
UGCCAAGCAAAGAUAUGGUUGCUGCUAGCUUGUUUAUGUUUGAAAUGUGUUUUCUGGUGCAGUAAGAGAAGGCUGCACCAUUUCUUUGGGAUUAUUUGUGCCCUUUAAAAUGAGCCUUAUUAGGAGAAGAAGGGCAUGAAGUGCUGUCAAAUUUCCAGAGCUUUAUAGAAAAGUGCAUAUAUACUUUAAGAGACAUAAUGUCCCAGACUAAACUGGAAUUGUGAGGAGCUCCUCAACAUAAAGACUGGGUUUGGGUCAUAUUUUAGAGUUGUUUCCCUGCAACAAUCGGGUGUUAUUCCCACAGAACUUCCUGGCUGUCCUUGGCUCUGCCUUGAAAGAAAACACACCCUCCAUGAGGAAGAGAUGCAAGAGUAAACAUUUGGCAGGGAUAUGUUCUAUUUCGACCUGCUCCCUCUGCGCAGUCAAGGAUUUUAUUUUAUCAAAGUGAAUCCCAGUAUCUGAAAAUCCUGGAUAAGGAAGAGAGACUGCAGCCAGCACUUGCUUCUGUUGCUAGACCAUUUCACAGCUUCUUUCAUAUGCUGUGCACUUAUGGAAGAAGGCUGAGGAAAACACAUGUGCCUAGCACAGAUUUCAGACUUCUGGACAUCAGGUUGAGACCUCAAGGUCUUCUCAUCAGCAAGAAUGAAUUCCCUGCACUCUGAAGUCUUUCACGAGCGAUUCUCUCUCCCCUGCUGUAUGUGCCACUCUCUUAUCCCCAAGCAUGUGUCAAUUUUGCUUCUAUCUGAAGUUCAGUGAGAUAUUUUUCUGGUGGUUAGCUGAGAUCUCUUUGCAGCAGCCAUGCAAAAUUUUUCAGAACUGACAUGAGGUGUCACAACUGUGGCAGUGUUGCAUCUGCCCUGGGGGACAUGGAAAAAGAUUGGUUCGUGGGAACAUCUGAAUCAGGACUGAGGCAUUAAGAGUUCAGUCUGUGGAUUGUCCCAAGUCCUAAAACUAUAGGGGAAACAGAUAUAUCUUUGAUUUGAGACCUACCACUGCAGCUAGAAAUUGAAUCUGCCUGUAGUAAAACAGCACAGUGUGGAUUAGGAAAUUACUCUUUUGCAUUAUAUAUAGAUACAGGAGGGGCAGGGAGAGGCACAAAAGAAAUACCCACCAUUGGUGAUUGCCAGGCAUGGAUGGCAUUACAAAAUAGGAGGAAAAUGGAGCUCCUGAAAGUGGCUUUCCAUGUCUGAGUUUUUCUUGGGACUGUGGCACCAUGCAGAUUUGCUAACCCUGAGAUAGAAAUACCAGACCUUAUAUAUGGCAUGCUUACAAAGGACACUGUGGUACACACUACAGACAAACUACUCUGCAACAAAGAAAAGCUUUGUGCUGACUCAAC